UUCUUUUCCCCUUCUUUCUUCUUUCUCCUCUAUUCUCCACCACCAAAACAUUAACCCUAGCGACAACCUCCAACUGUCCUUCUGCGCGACCCAUCUCCCCCACCCUAAAAAUCCACCGACUUCACUUUGACUGCAAAAGCAGGCACUAUUUGGUACCAAAAAAUCAAAAUUGCUAUAAGUAGCCUAAAAGGCAGAGGUUGGAAUAGGUGUUGGAUUUGAUUGCAAAAUCCAUUCUUUUUCUUCUUCUCAUUUUCAAUUUUUGAGGUCUCAAAUCCGAACUUUCAAGUCCGAAUUUAGCACCUAUAAAUAUGGUGUUUUCAUCCCCUAUGAAGGCAAGAAACUUUGAGAGAGAGAAAUCCGGGAGAAGGGUUCAAGAUCUGGAAAAGGGGGAACGAGUGAAAAUAUGAGAGAAAGGCAAAUUUUGAGAGAAAUUUUCGAUCUGUAAGAAAGAAAAAUUCGCGAGAAAGCAAAGAGAUUGGAAGUUUCUAAAUCAAGAAAAAAAAGGGAGACAAAAAAAAUGAAGUAAGGAAAAUUGGUCUUGUUUUUUUAUUUCCAGAAUACAUGUUUUGGAAUAAGUUUGGAAUAUGUUCUGAAAAAGAAAAGUUUUUUCCAAAGUUGCUAUUUCUUUUUUAUUUUGGUCAAGUCGGAGUCCGAUAGUUGAGUUAUUUGUCGAUGAAAAAUCCCUAGGCAUUGAGGCUCCCAUUUGCUAUGCCAACAAAGAUGUCAAAGGAUAAGAAAUGCAAGGUAUAUAUAUUCAUUCGCUACCACAUACAAGGUAUAUUAUUUUCAAUAUUAUUAUAGUAAUUAUUUUCAUCAUUAUUAUCAUUCAUUAUUAUUGCCAUUAUUAUUUAUACAACCAUUAGUACUAUUAAUUAUUAUUAUUAUUAUUAUUAUUAUGGUUUAAACGACUUCAUAUGUUAUGCAUUAUAUUAUUAUUAUUAUUAUUAUUAUUAUUAUUAUUAUUAUUUUAAUUUCAACCCAUUCAUAAUCUUUCAUAUAUUCCCUCACAUACUCUUAAAUAUACUUUUCGUAAUUAAAUUUUCGCGUCAUGAAAAAAAAUAUAUUUGCUUAUGUUUUAGUCAUAUACUUAAACUUCACAUGUCUUAAAGUUUCUUUAUAAGAUCAUAAGAUUUUUCACUUUCUGAUGUGUAAAUUACAUUAUUAGCCUUUUCGUAUCCUACAAAUAUUCAUAUUUUGCGAUAAUUAUAUUACUUCCUUGUACAUGGUAGCGUCUUGUUUACUAUACUUUAAAAUUCCUUGUAAAUAACGAUAGUGAAUAUAUGACAAAAAAAUUUUCAACACAUUUUAGCAAAUAACGAAGCAAUGCUUUCCUAAAUUGAGUGUAAGAACUAUCUUUGGAUAUACUCUGCGGGUUGCCUAACACUUCCCCUCGAGUAACCAAAGUCCUUACUCAAAAUCUCAAAAAUGUUUCGAAGGACCAAAACAGAGUUCUUCUACAUAAUAAUAGUUUUUUCCUAAUUUUUCUAAAAAGUUAGGUGGUGAAUCUAAAAAAUAAUUUUGAAAACCCAAGAGUCACGACACGCCAGCACAUGUUAUGUGUUGUUUCAACCAGUUCAAAAUAGGGCGCGACAUAUGUCACGAUCCAAAAAUGAGUCGCGGUGUACCUUGACAAGUAAGCCUAUCAUCCAAACUGAUACAGAAAGAGAAAAAGACGGAAACAUCUCAAGGUAAGGCUUUUAGAACGAAGCCGAAUCAUAUAAGUAAUCAUAACAAUGCAGAAAGAACUUAUCCAAUAUACCAAUCAUUCCCAAAACCAAGUGUCAAUAGUGUAAGAACUACUCAUAGAAUCCAGGAGUCAAAUACAUCAGAAAAAUAAUCGAAAGAAAAUAAUAUCUAUCUCUGAAUACUAAUAAAUACAUAACUACUAUAGAAAGAUAGAGGUGAACUACGGACUCAUAAAUGUCCAGUCACUAUCUUGAAAGCUCCAAUAAUCACCUAAGUCAAGCAAGUUGAGGCACACUCGAUCUAGGACCUACACCAAAAGGGUGUAGUAGGCAUGAGUACGGUCCACUUGUACUCAGUAGCUAUCAUAGGCCAAUCAAUCAAAGUAGCAAAUAAAGCAUAAAAAAUAUACACUAAGGGCACGUCACCUGUAAUCAGAAAAUAUCCCACAACGGUAGCCCACACCUCUUGCACUAACAGUUCUAGAAUUGUAGACACCUAAUUUUGUCCCUCUCCGAUAUCACUUUUACUCAUUUUUACCUUAUCCUAUUGCGUACCCUCACCCAUGUGAUUAUAUCCCACAAAAAUACAAAAAUAACAACCCUUUUAUAAUUUUCAAACAAAUUUCAUCUUAUUUUAAUCUUAUCCUAACUAACUUACCCUAUCCCACCUACCCUAUACCCUCACCCAUACCCCACUUCCUCUCAACGUGACUCCUCCCUUAUAUUUAUUUUCCAUAAAUUAAAAGGCAUAUACACACAGAUUCUAUCCAAUUGAGGAGGGGGGAUCACUCACAUAAUAUAUACAAUAUACAUAGAAGACAAAGGGAGGUCUGGUGGGUUUUUCCAGAGAGAGGGAUAAAAAGAGAGAGAAAGAGAAGCACAGAGAGUACUAUUUAUGGUUUUCUUCUCCAAGAGGUCGUACAUACACAAAGAACCAUAAAAUCGCGCCCCACAUACUGAAAUAGAAUAAUCGAGAGAGAGAGAGAGUCACAAAGAGAGAGAACACAAGUUUUGCGGGUUCGUUACUAUUCCAGUGAUAGACUCAUCGAAAAUGCAUUGGAGCCCUCACAAAUACUUACAAACCUAUCGAAAUAGGUUGCAAUUAGUAUGACUGUGUUUGUUUUCGGUCAUCGUUGAGGUUAUCGAAGUCGCGACAUCAUAUAGCAGUCAAUCUAAGCUCGAUCCGCUUCCAAUUCCGUUCAAACUUGUUUGAAUACAGUCCAAAGUUCUUUUAUUCUCACGAUUUUUAGCUCAGGUCAAAUUGGUUUUCAGUCUCUUUUGAAUUUUUGAUGCUUUUGGUUAGUAUGUCUUGGUGAUUCAUUGUCGAAAUCAGGUUUCGAGUUCAUUGAUUGUUGUUUUGGGCUUGAGAUUUGGGUCUUCCAAUCAUCUCGACCAGUCAUGGGUUUCAAAUUCUUCAAUAUCAGAGUUGGAGGUCGUCACUAUUGAGGUUCUAUUCGGGAUUCUCGGAUUCGGGCUUCUUUAAUUCUAUAUUAUCUAUGAAAUUGAUUCUCCGAAAGUCCAUCUCCUAACUUUGCUCUUUUAUUUUCUCAAAUUUUAGUUAAUAUCAUGAUUUGUGGUGUGGUAGAUUUUGAAAAGCAAUUUGAUAGCCGAAUUGGUUUAAUCACGUGAGUUUUGGGAGGGUCAGAGUUCAAACAUUGAUAAAAGUGAAUAUUAGUUCAUGGUGAUUUAUGGAUAAACCUUGAUUCGGGAUAAGUAUCGACUUUGUUUAAAUUCGAUAGUCUCAUAGUUUAAGUUAACAAUUAUUAGGCAAACGAUAGGGGGAAGCAUGUAAGAAUGUCGGAUUGGUGAAUGCUUGAAAUGUGUGUUUAAUGGUUUUCACUUAUCACUUUUGGAUCACUUAUAAUAUUUGGUCGGGGAAUGCCCCAAAGUAUCUGUAUAUAUUUAUUCACCGGGGAAUGCCCCGAGGUAUCUUGUACCCAGAGAAUAUUCGUGAUGAAGGCCCAACGUGUCGGGUAAAGCACGGGAGUGUAAUUAGGAUUAGUAUAGGUCAGAUAGGAUUUAUUUUCAUAUUUUUCUAUUUUGGGCUGUAUAAAUUGCACCGGACACUAUAUUUUUGGAUUCAUUUUGUUUUCUUUGUUUGUUUGAUUGUUUUACGUGUUUUUUAGUGUGGUUUAUACAUUCAUAGUGUCAGAUUAGCCGAUACGCUCCACCAAGCGACCAUUGUCAAACCACGGGAUCGAGGAGUGCCUAACACCUUCCUCUCGGUCAAUAGAAUUUCUUAGCCAGAAUCUCUGUUCGCAGAUCAGUUUUAAAGAGUCAAAUCAUUUUAAAAAGGAUCUUUCAAAGGUGACUUGUCACACCGGAUUAUGUCAAGUGGAGACUCUGAAUAAAAAAUGUAAAUAAUCCUUUUUCGAAAUAAAUUUUUAAUCUCAUGUCACUUCGAUAAUAAAAACC
This 4100-nucleotide long non-coding RNA is filed under the name Capsicum annuum. RNAcentral's name for it is "long non-coding RNA (CANN_LNC006610)". The record is from RNAcentral. Lineage: Eukaryota; Viridiplantae; Streptophyta; Magnoliopsida; Solanales; Solanaceae.